Fukomys damarensis (Damara mole-rat) is the source of this 2565-nucleotide long non-coding RNA. RefSeq lists it as uncharacterized. The transcript has 3 exons. Lineage: Eukaryota; Metazoa; Chordata; Mammalia; Rodentia; Bathyergidae. The record is from RefSeq and is a predicted model, not a curated record.
UAUCUCUGAAAAUAAGAAAGACUUGGGGGUUUGAGACUCCCUCCUAGCGCUUUGGGGGGGGGUUGAGACACUACAGUUCCCGGCAUGCAACGCAGGAGGCGAGCGCCGUAUUGAACGCUGGGAGCCGUAGUCUCUGGUGCUGAGUCAGUUGCGCUGUUUGGAUCUUGCAAGUUUUCCAGCGUGUUUGGGAAACUCAGCGCAUGUUUUAAGGUUUACACUUUGUUCUGAUUGCAGUGGAGAUCUGUGCUUAUUCCUGCAUCCCCCGGUCUGCACAGCUUUCAGGAGUGGGUCUAGAAAGCCUCCGCGCCUCAGCCAGGCCCCCGUGUGCUGGACGCCGGCCGUUCCGAGUCUGGGCCUCUGGUCCGGACGUGCUUUUCCGAAUCUGGCUUCUCGGGCGUCCCUCGGGCCUCCUGGACCCUUCGCCUCUGCGUAUUCCCCGGCCGGAACCCCACUGAUUCGGUCUGCAGGAGGAACUGGUGGGGUUCCCAUCCCCGACGCAGAUCGCGAACAAAUUUGAUGCCUUCGACUCCUGUAAAGCACAAAGAGGGGCGCUUGGCGGCCCUGGAGCCGCCGUGAAUCGGGCGGGGAGCGGCCGUCAAGUGAGGCCUAGCACGGACUCGGAAGGACGCACCUGUGGAUGUUUCAGAGCUAAACCCGGGUGCUGUAAAUGAGAUCGGAUAGCAGCUUUGUAACUUAAUAGAAAUGCGCUGCGGGCCUUAGGCAAGGCGCCUGGCCCAGCAGGUGUCUUUCCUGUGAAGGGGGCAGCCCUUCACCCUAGCUUGCGCCUGUGACAAGUUUUCCGGAACUCCCCCUACACACAGGGAGGUGGGCUCAGGAUCACAAAACGAAGAUGAAGCAUUCAGUUGCAGCGCAUCAAAAGGGAUGGGAGUUUGGGGAGUGGUCGAAUGAUUGGCAGGCCUAACUUGGAUUGCUUUUCAACUCUGAUCUUCAAAUGGUUGAUGUCCCUCAAUGUCAAAUGACAACACAAAAGGAACAAUUUGCGGGAAAGAUUUCCAUAAUCAGGAGGAAGACUUAAAAGCAGUGGUGUUGCUGGAUGCCCCAGGAUGAAAAUAGGUCUAAAAGACCUGAGACAUCCUCUGGGCCAAGAGAGAGGGUGCACUGGGUUCCUUUGAAAACCCCGGGCACUCUUUCUGCCUUACGUGUGCUCCACUCUGAGCUUUAGAAGAGGGACUUCGGCACCCAGCACCUCCCUCAGCCAAGUCCAGAGACCCCUCCCCGCUGACCUGGUCAGUGCUCUGGUCUCCACUCUGUGGACAGCCACGUCCCUGCUUCCUCUGCCCACCGGGGGAACGCACAGCCCUUCCUGCCCGCCCAGUGGCCCGCCUGGCCAGUUCAUUCAUAGAACAUCGGUAUCUGUGGGCCCUGGAGACCUCGUGCAGCUGGACGAGCAGGAUCCUCCAAGAGGUGCUGUGGGAAGAGACCCAAUCUCAGAAUUUCCACCGUGUUGCCGCAGGCUUUAGACAGGAGGAGGAGUGGGUGUCCUCAGGGUGAGCCAGGAGGGAAGACUGCAGAUCCGAGAACCUAGGGCUAAAGUUACAGUGGACCCUCGAGUUACGACUGGCCUGACGUGCAAACAACUCGGGUCAUGACUGGAAGUUGAGUUUUAACUUACGACCAAAGCCUUGAGUUACGACUCAGAUGCUGGCCGCUUGUGCUUCCGCAUGGUCUCAGAUACAGAUUGAACCCUAAAGAGCUCUGGAAGGAACAUGACAGCAUUCCUUCCUGCGUGGGGCUCACUGAGAGACCCUGGGCCGGCGUCUCUGAGCACACCAAGAUCCGCCUGUGUACAGGAGAGACUGAAGGCUGUGCAGAGGAGCCCGAGCCUUCAGUUGACUGGAGAACAAACUGAGUUCGGGAGUCAAGGGCCCACUGUAUUAGUGAAGGGCUCCCUGUCAAUUUUGUAGACCUCUCCAUGCCUUGGAUGAGUUGGUUUUCAAGGACCGGUCAGCUAUAAAAGAGAAUCCUAACCCAGUCACUUUAAAGACCAAGAUGCAGGUUAGGAACGACAGAGACAGCGAACUCAGACAUCACCUGCAGCUUCAUGUUGUGCGGCUCCCUAGGGAAGGAACUUUGAAGUGAGAAUACUCCUUGAGUGCUUAAAAUUGUUAUCCUAUUCCUGCGCCACGUAUUUUUCCCAUUUUGAAGAUUUCUGAAACCAAAUAGGAACCAAGAACAGGUCAGGAAAGAUAACUGAGGGAGUUGCGCUUGGAGCAGACUCCGAACCCCUGGCAGUUAACAUGCGGGUCCGGGGCCAGUAUUCUCCAGCAGGGAACCUGCCGGACACUGCGCCUUUUCUGGAGUCACUUUUGGUGUCACUAGUGGAGGGGAGCUGCUGGCCUCCAGGGGGUAGUGGCCAGGGUCACUGCUAACUGCCCACAGUGCACAGGGGGCCCCCUACCGUGGGAAUGCCAGCGUGCCAAGGUUGAGAGCCCUGAGCAAAAGGAAAGAGAACCAGCUUUUAUUCAUUGCCUGGUGCUGUGCAUGGUGGCGCACACCUCUAAGCCCAGCUCAGGAGGCUGAGGCAGGAGGAUCACUAUGAACUCA